RNAcentral lists this unclassified non-coding RNA (229 nucleotides) under uncultured Lactarius. RNAcentral's name for it is "sequence contains ITS1". Lineage: Eukaryota; Fungi; Basidiomycota; Agaricomycetes; Russulales; Russulaceae. The record is from RNAcentral.
UCGUACAACAUGUGUGAGGCGCGCGAGGGCUGUCGCUGACUUUUUGAAACACAAAAGUCGUGCACGCCGGAGCGUGUCCUCUCACAAUAAAAUCCAUCUCACCCUUUUGUGCACCACCGCGUGGGCACCUUUUGGGAUCGAACCGAUCCUGGAGGGGGCUUGCGUUUUCACACAAACCCCUUUUAAAAAGUGUAGAAUGACCCCAUUUUGCGAUGACACGCAAUCAAUA